This 513-nucleotide ribosomal RNA is filed under the name uncultured bacterium. RNAcentral describes it as "partial 16S ribosomal RNA". It matches the Rfam family "Bacterial small subunit ribosomal RNA", at positions 30 to 523 of the family's 1533-position model. The record is from RNAcentral.
AGCGAACGUUAGCGGCGGGCCUAACACAUGCAAGUCGAGCGAGAAAGGGGCUUCGGCCCUGCGUAAAGCGGCGGACGGGUGAGUAACACGUAGGUAACCUUCCUUCGAGCGGGGGACAACGGUCCGAAAGGACCGCCAAUACCGCGUAAGUUCCCGAGGACCCUGGUCCCUGGGAGGAAAGCCAGGUCGCAAGCGCCGGCCCCCGGAGAGGGGCCGGGGUCGCAUCAGCUAGUUGGGGGGGUAAUGGCCUACCAAGGCGAAGACGCGUAGCUGGUCUGAGAGGAUGAUCAGCCACACUGGGGCUGGGACACGGCCCAGACUCCUACGGGAGGCAGCAGUGGGGAAUAUUGGACAAUGGGCGCAAGCCUGAUCCAGCCACGCCGCGUGAGUGAUGAAGGCCUUCGGGUCGUAAAGCUCUGUGGGGAGGGACGAACCGCUGCACGUGCAUAGCGUGCAGCAUGACGGUACCUCCUUAGCAAGCACCGGCUAACUUCGUGCCAGCAGCCGCCGUAA